RNAcentral lists this ribosomal RNA (454 nucleotides) under uncultured bacterium. RNAcentral describes it as "bacterial SSU rRNA". It matches the Rfam family "Bacterial small subunit ribosomal RNA", at positions 28 to 482 of the family's 1533-position model. The record is from RNAcentral.
GAUGAACGCUGGCGGCGUGCCUAACACAUGCAAGUCGAACGAAGCACUGAGAGUUUGAGAUUUCGGUCAAGAACACUCUUUGACUUAGUGGCGGACGGUGAGUAAUGCGUGAGCAACCUGCCUUUCAGAGGGGGACAACAGUUGGAAACGGCUGCUAAUACCGCAUGAUAUAUUCGGAUCGCAUGGUCUGGAUAUCAAAGAUUUAUCGCUGAAAGAUGGGCUCACGUCUGAUUAGUUAGUUGGUGAGGUAACGGCUCACCAAGACUGCGAUCAGUAGCCGGGACUGAGAGGUUGAACGGCCACAUUGGGACUGAGAUACGGCCCAGACUCCUACGGGAGGCAGUAGUGGGGAAUAUUGGCAAUGGGGAACCUGAUGCAGCGACGCCGCGUGAGCGAAGAAGUAUUUCGGUAUGUAAAGCUCUAUCAGCAGGGAAGAAGAAAUGACGGUACCUGA